Hippocampus zosterae (dwarf seahorse) is the source of this 657-nucleotide long non-coding RNA. RefSeq lists it as uncharacterized. Lineage: Eukaryota; Metazoa; Chordata; Actinopteri; Syngnathiformes; Syngnathidae. The record is from RefSeq and is a predicted model, not a curated record. The transcript is spliced from 3 exons.
CCAGGCUGCUAAUUGACACAUCGGCUGCGUUGACACAGUCCAGGCUGCUAAUUGACACGUGAACUGCACCGGUGCAGUUUAGACUGCAUCGGCUGCUUGGCACAGUACAGGCUGCGCCACUUAGUCCAGGGGGCGUCGACUCAGUGCAGAGGGCGUUGACGCAGCAAAAGCCCGCCACACAGUGUUUAUAAGGAACACCUGCCGAAACAAGCCAGACCUCACUCACGCUCGCUUGUCGAAGCUCGUGUCAGUGCAGACUUCGUGUUCGUGCCUUGCCUUCCUUGCCGAUUAUGGAGCAGAGACGCAAAUCAUCCGCCGUGUGGGACCAUUUUGAUGUCCUGGAGAAUAAGGUGAAAUGUCGAAUUUGCCAAGUCAAUUCGCCAACAGAAGCACCUCCACCAUGCUGAGGCAUUAUCGGGCCAAGCAUGAGAAUGAAGUUCGCGAUACACCCGGUAUUACGCCAGGUUCCAGGAAGCAGCUGUACUGGAAGGACCAACACACUUCUUUCCCAAACCUCUCCCACCUCGCAAAGGAGUUCCUUUGUACGCCAGCCACAUCCGUCCCUUGUGAGCGUGUGUUCUUCACAGCAGGAGAAAUUGCUUGUAAAAGACGCAACAGGCUGAAGUUUAAAACAUUGGAGCAUCUUAUUUUUCUCAA